CUAGUCUAAGGUCGUAGGAGGUUAUACAGGCAAAUCCGUAUAACAAUACUCCGAGAACUGAAAGGCUUUUUGAAGUCUUCGGAUGGAUAGAAGAACCCCUGAUGCCGUCGAGCCAAGAAAAGUUUCUAAGUUUAGCUAAUGUUGCCCGUACCGUAAACCGACACAGGUGGGUGGGAUGAGUAUUCUAAGGCGCGUGGAAGAACUCUCUUUAAGGAACUCUGCAAAAUAGCACCGUAUCUUCGGUAUAAGGUGUGGUUAGCCUUGUAUUAGGAUUUACUCCGAAAGCAAGGAAACUUACAACAAAGAGUCCCUCCCGACUGUUUACCAAAAACACAGCACUCUGCUAACUCGUAAGAGGAUGUAUAGGGUGUGACGCCUGCCCGGUGCUCGAAGGUUAAUUGAUGGGGUUAGCAUUAGCGAAGCUCUUGAUCGAAGCCCGAGUAAACGGCGGCCGUAACUAUAACGGUCCUAAGGUAGCGAAAUUCCUUGUCGGUUAAAUACCGACCUGCAUGAAUGGCGUAACGAGAUGGGAGCUGUCUCAAAGAGGGAUCCAGUGAAAUUGUAGUGGAGGUGAAAAUUCCUCCUACCCGCGGCAAGACGGAAAGACCCCGUGGACCUUUACUACAGCUUGACACUGCUACUUGGAUAAGAAUGUGCAGGAUAGGUGGGAGGCUUUGAGUAUAUGACGCCAGUUGUAUAUGAGCCAUUGUUGAGAUACCACUCUUUCUUAUUUGGGUAGCUAACCAGCUUGAGUUAUCCUCAAGUGGGACAAUGUCUGGUGGGUAGUUUGACUGGGGCGGUCGCCUCCCAAAUAAUAACGGAGGCUUACAAAGGUUGGCUCAGAACGGUUGGAAAUCGUUCGUAGAGUAUAAAGGUAUAAGCCAGCUUAACUGCAAGACAUACAAGUCAAGCAGAGACGAAAGUCGGUCUUAGUGAUCCGGUGGUUCUGUGUGGAAGGGCCAUCGCUCAAAGGAUAAAAGGUACCCCGGGGAUAACAGGCUGAUCUCCCCCAAGAGCUCACAUCGACGGGGAGGUUUGGCACCUCGAUGUCGGCUCAUCGCAUCCUGGGGCUGGAGCAGGUCCCAAGGGUAUGGCUGUUCGCCAUUUAAAGCGGUACGCGAGCUGGGUUCAGAACGUCGUGAGACAGUUCGGUCCCUAUCUGCCGUGGGCGUAAGAAGAUUGAAGAGAUUUGACCCUAGUACGAGAGGACCGGGUUGAACAAACCACUGGUGUAGCUGUUGUUCUGCCAAGAGCAUCGCAGCGUAGCUAAGUUUGGAAAGGAUAAACGCUGAAAGCAUCUAAGCGUGAAGCCAACUCUAAGAUGAAUCUUCUCUAAGCUCUCUAGAAGACUACUAGUUUGAUAGGCUGGGUGUGUAAUGGAUGAAAGUCCUUUAGCUGACCAGUACUAAUAGAGCGUUUGGCUUAUCUUUAAUAAAGCAU
This 1440-nucleotide ribosomal RNA is filed under the name Campylobacter jejuni. Its description in RNAcentral is "partial 23S ribosomal RNA". It matches the Rfam family "Bacterial large subunit ribosomal RNA", at positions 1507 to 2925 of the family's 2925-position model. The record is from RNAcentral. Lineage: Bacteria; Pseudomonadati; Campylobacterota; Epsilonproteobacteria; Campylobacterales; Campylobacteraceae.